CUCUCUCAAGGAGCAAUCUUUGGUGUUGAGCGACACUCUGCGGAGUCAGCUUGAAAGGGAUUGGCAGUGGGUCGGCGAGUUGACAUCUUUGUUAACUUCAAUGUAUUAGGGCAACCAUUCAUUGAGGGAAGACUAGACGGACCGGGCCGCGGCUUGACAACCUCUCAU
RNAcentral lists this unclassified non-coding RNA (168 nucleotides) under uncultured Candida. Its description in RNAcentral is "sequence contains ITS2". Lineage: Eukaryota; Fungi; Ascomycota; Saccharomycetes; Saccharomycetales. The record is from RNAcentral.